UGGUGAGUAUGUUGUGAAAUGAAGUAGUAAGAGAAAUGGGUUCUAACAAGUGUUCCCUAAUUUGGUUUGUUCUGUUUUUGUGUAUCAUCGGUUUCUCAACUAUUGCUGUUGCUUCUGAAGUGUAUGCAAAUUCAGAUGAAAUUGGUGUGAAUAGAAAAUUACUUCGCGAAUGUCGGAGACAAAGAAUUGGUAAUGAAGUUGACGACGUACCGCCUAGUCAUCCUCGCUGCCACAAUUUUCCUUGACAUGACUGUGUUUUGUAACACAAUCAUGAAUGAAGUACAGAAAAUAAAACACAAAUACUAUUUUUCAUUCGUGUUCAGUUCUUGUGUUUUGUUUCUUAUUAAUAGAUUAUUUAUAAUUUAUGUUGGUUUUUAUUUGUAAUUUUAGUAAUCUUUUAGAUUACUUGCGUAUUAUAUUAAUUUAUUUUGUGAUUUAAAUAUUUUUAUAA
Vicia villosa (hairy vetch) is the source of this 451-nucleotide long non-coding RNA. RefSeq lists it as uncharacterized. The record is from RefSeq and is a predicted model, not a curated record. Lineage: Eukaryota; Viridiplantae; Streptophyta; Magnoliopsida; Fabales; Fabaceae. The transcript is spliced from 2 exons.